UACGAAGGGGGCUAGCGUUGCUCGGAAUGACUGGGCGUAAAGGGCGCGUAGGCGGAUGGUACAGUCAGAUGCGAAAUUCCUGGGCUUAACCUGGGGGCUGCAUUUGAUACGUGUUGUCUAGAGUGAGGAAGAGGGUCGUGGAAUUCCCAGUGUAGAGGUGAAAUUCGUAGAUAUUGGGAAGAACACCGGUGGCGAAGGCGGCGACCUGGUCCUUUACUGACGCUGAGGCGCGAAAGCGUGGGGAGCAAACAGG
RNAcentral lists this ribosomal RNA (253 nucleotides) under uncultured bacterium. RNAcentral describes it as "partial 16S ribosomal RNA". It matches the Rfam family "Bacterial small subunit ribosomal RNA", at positions 524 to 776 of the family's 1533-position model. The record is from RNAcentral.